This 362-nucleotide transfer-messenger RNA is filed under the name Gemmatimonadaceae. RNAcentral's name for it is "FEN-1250 sp013697785 Standard tmRNA". It matches the Rfam family "transfer-messenger RNA". From Rfam's summary of the family: Bacterial tmRNA, also known as 10Sa RNA or SsrA, is named for its dual tRNA and mRNA-like properties. RNAcentral also lists the same sequence under 1 other name. The record is from RNAcentral. Lineage: Bacteria; Pseudomonadati; Gemmatimonadota; Gemmatimonadia; Gemmatimonadales.
GGGCCUGAAAUGGUUUCGAUUGUGUAGAAGAAGCUGUGGUCGCGUGCCCAGGUCCUCGGGUUCCUGGUAAAACCCUCGGGAAAAUUUUCAACUGCCAACUCAAACAUGGCCCUCGCAGCGUAACUUCGGUUACAGCUUGUGAGUGCCUGCGAGGAAGCCCGCCCGGGGCGGCCUCGUAGGUAGCGAAAAGCUGGGCUAGUCAUGCGUCGCGCUCUCAGGCACGUGGCGAAAAUUUAGAGAGCUCAUCCGGCGGUGGGUCGUUCACCAGCCAGCCGUCGGAAACAUCAAUCGGUGGACUACGCACGUAGAAGCUGUGGUUGAUCCUAUGCAAGACGCGAGUUCGACUCUCGCCAGGUCCACUU